CUUACCUUUAUUCUACAACUUGACUGAGAUUGACUCUUGUUUCAAUCCUAGAUGUCCUUCAUGACCUAGAAAACCACCCUAUCCAAAGCACUAAAUUUCAGAAAGAUCCUGAAUUCCACUUGUCCUGGACCUCAUAUAAUCCUUCAUCUGCAGAGCUAUUUUAUCUCCAGAAUCCCACCAGAGCAAGUUACAUCUUAUAUGUGCAGUUCUGGAUGGAAAAUGUGAUGAACUAUAAGAACUCCUCCAGUGCAUGCUGAAAAAGGAAAAAGGAAGCUAUACUACCCCAAGCCACUGGAAACAUCACCUAAUGAUUUCAAACGCAUUCCUCUUUGUCUGAAUGCAUUCCAACCAAAAGUUAUUUCUAACCACCUAGUAUUCCAGGGUGCUGGUGUGUGUGCAGCCAUCUCCCUUUAUAUUUUAUUAAAGGUGGAAUCAAGGAUUGCAUCUAGCCUAUGUUCAAACUUUUUAAUGGAAUCAAAAUCCUCUAAGGAUUAUCUUAAAUCCAGGUAAUACUGUUAAGUGGAACCUCAAUGUAGCCAAAUAGCUGCAUGGUUAGAAACAUGUAUCUCUGUCUCCUUAAAGUGAUCCCAUGAAUCUGGGUUUCUGUCUCCGAUCCACUUAAAUGUUGGCAUAUGUAUUAUGAGGAAACACAUUGAUGGAAACUCAAAAAACACUCAAACAAAUGCCAGGAUGUCUCUGUAUAAGGAUGGUUUGGAAAAAUUCUAUCAGUCUAAUCCAUCUCAUUUAAUCUCAUCUUCUGAAAGACCCAAAUUCUAUUCCAUUCCUGUGAAUAAGACUAUCUUUUUUCCUUAUCCAGUAUCUUCUUCUCCUUUUCUGUGUCAGUACCCCCCAGCUUAUGCAUCAGCCAAACAGCUCCCCUUUUCCAGGGCAACCUCAAGUUUUACUUCCUACUGAUGCCUUCCUAAUGCAUAUUAAUUUCCAGAGCCUGUCUCAUUUGUGAAACUUGCAAUUCCCCCCAUACCCAAGUCACUGCAGAGGCCAGGCCAGGACCUGUGUUCAGCUUUGCUUUCUCUGCAUGGCACUAGGCUCAAGGCACAAGCAGCCACUUAUCAUGGAGAAAGUUAUCAUCAUGACAUAGUAGUUCCCCCAGACACUGUGUAGCAUUUUUAUGAUUAUAUGUUUGCAGUACAUAAUAAUUAUAUUCAUUGUGGGCAAUCACAUGUUCGUGGACAUAACACAUCUUAAUUCAUUUUUGCAUCCCCUUUCCCUCCCCUUGGUUUGCGCCUCCCUCCACUUCUUGGUCACCGUCCCUUUUGCAAAUGAUCUCCAUGCUUCCUAUUAUCUAUCUUUUAUUUUGCUCUUUAAUUUAUUUAUAUUUUGGGUUUCUCAUAUAAGAGAAACUAUGCAAUAUUUAAGCUUGUAUAUCUGGUUUAUUUUACCUAACAUAUUGCACCUAUUUUUCCCACAAAUGACUCAAGUUUACCCUUCUUUAUGGCAGAGUAGUAUACCAUUCUAUAUAAAUACCACGUUUUCUUUUCUUUUUUUUUUUUUUUGGCACUGAGGAUUGAACUUGGGUCCUUGCGCUUGUGCCGCAGGUGAUGAAACAACUGAGCUAAAUUCCCGGCCAUGUUUUCUUUAUUUAUUCAUCUGUUGAUGGGCAUAUAGGCUGCUUUCAAGAGUUAGCUAUUGUGAGUUAUGCUAUUAUUAAUAUGGGUAUGAAUGUAUCACUGGAAUAUGAUGUAUUUAAUUCUUUCAAGAAGAUACCCAGUAGGAGAAUAGCUGAGUUGAGUGGGACUUCUACUUUUAGUUUUUGAAGAGCCUACAUACUGAUUUCCAUAGUAGUUCUAUUAGUUUGCAGUCCUACCAAGAAUGUAGAAAGGUUUCUUUUCUCCUGCAGCUUCACCAGCAUUUGUUAUUAUGUGAUUUCUUUAUAAUAGCCAUUCUUUCUAGAGUAAGAAUCUCAGUGUUGGAUUUUUGAAUGAGAGGUCAUCAUUUUACAGAGGA
Molecule: long non-coding RNA, 1965 nt
Organism: Heterocephalus glaber (naked mole-rat)
Lineage: Eukaryota; Metazoa; Chordata; Mammalia; Rodentia; Bathyergidae
Source: Ensembl